RNAcentral lists this ribosomal RNA (215 nucleotides) under Glomeromycotina sp. RNAcentral's name for it is "partial small subunit ribosomal RNA". The record is from RNAcentral. Lineage: Eukaryota; Fungi; Glomeromycota.
GGGUCAGUAGGUUGGUCGUGCCACCGGUACGUACUGGUCUCACUGAUUCCUCCUUCCUGAAGAACCGUAAUGCCAUUAAUUUGGUGUUGCGGGGAAACAGGACUGUUACUUUGAAUAAUUAGAGUGUUUAAAGCAAGCUAACGCUUGAAUACAUUAGCAUGGAAUAAUGAAAUAGGACGAUCGAUCCUAUUUUGUUGGUUUCUAGGAUUGACGUA